Molecule: long non-coding RNA, 2054 nt
Organism: Tachysurus fulvidraco (yellow catfish)
Lineage: Eukaryota; Metazoa; Chordata; Actinopteri; Siluriformes; Bagridae
Exons: 4
Source: RefSeq, a predicted model, not a curated record
CACACACACACACACACACACACACACACACACACACACGCACACGCCAGCGCGCGCGCACACACCGACGCACUCUGGCUCUUUCUCAGACGCGCUUGCUUUUACCGGAUCCGUGCUCUGCAAUGACUUCGAGCAAAAACACACCCGUGUGUGUGUGUGUGUGUGUGUGUGUGUGUGUGUGUGUGUGUGUGUGUGUGUGUGUGUGUGUGUGUGUGUGUGUGUGUGUGUGUGUGUGUGACUGAGGGCGCGGUGUGCGCGCAGUUUUAGCGCCUUCCCCAACGGGACCGUGCUCUGUAUCUGUCUCUAUUACCGCCGGGGUAGACACCGAGACAACAAGACUCGGGGGAUCUCUGCCUGCAUCUCAACUGCUGGCUUUUAUGGCUGUAUGUUCGCAAAUCAUCCUCCCGAAGUAUCCAUUAACUGCACGUUAUAGCGUGUCCCUGCCCCAACACACCUGACUCAACUCUUCAGCUCAUUAACAAGCGCUUGACGAGGGUAGAACGGAUGCUGGCGCGUGGGAGUAGGGCUAGGAAGCGCGCAUUAAGUUUAAGAAGACAGAGCAGACCUCCCCUUACGGAGUUCAGAGCCCAGUCCCAGCUGAAUAGAAACAGUUGCAUGCCAUGAAGCUGCUACCACCAAGCAUCAUUGAGCCCAGUCCCAGGUUUGCUGCUGACGCUACAGUUGUGGGCCUCAUCAGCAUUAAUGCUUGGUCAGCACACAGGGGAAGGAGAACCAUCAAUGAUACAACUCUUGACAGUGUGAAAAAGUUUCUCGGUGUGUGCCUGACAGAGGAUCUUACCUAGACUCUCAACACCACCUGCCAAAAACUCUCAGCAGCACCUCAACUUCCUGUGAAGUCCGAAGAGAGCCAAAAUUUCUCUCCUAUUUUCACUGCCUUCUACAGUUGAAAGCAUCCUGAAGAGCCGUCUCACUAUGUAACGCCAAUACCACCAUGAAUGUCACUUAUAACAACCAGUGCAUCCUCAAAGCCACCAGCAUGGUGACCAACCUCACUUUCCCAUUCCUUGGACUCUUCACCCUCCUGCCAUUUGUCAGAAGGUACAGUAGCAUCUGUGCCUCUGACAGAAGACUAAAACACAGUUUUAUCCCAGAGGCAAACACUUUACUCAACACCCUGCAUUCUAUGUUCUAUAUUGUUCUAUGUAAUUAUGGUUCUGUUUUUUUUUUUUCCAGCAUUCACCUCACUGUUAUAUUUGCACUUUAUGUAGCCUUGCAUAUUGUUAUAUAUUGCAGAAUGGUCCUGAAGAAACAACAUUUCAUUCAAAUGUCUACAAGCUGUAUAAUAGAAUGACAGUUAAAAAAAAACAAACACACACUUAAUUUGACUUGAUUAAACCAAUUUAACAUAUUGCCACAUAGUUUGGGGUAUUUUUUGGGAUGUUUGAUUUUUUUUGGCUAUGAGAAAGGGGUUUUAUUUGGAGGUCUAUUUGGAGUCUCCCUGAUAAGUUUUCUUGUCCUUUCAUCACUUUUUUAGGAUGUCCUGUUCUUGGUACUGCCUCUGUUGUGCCCCAUUGUCUCCACUUGUUGAUGUUGGCCUUCGUUUUGUUCCAUGGUACAUCUAAUGUUUUGGAAAUUCUUUUGUAUCCGUCUCCUGAUUGAUACCCUUCAACAAUGAGAUUCUGUAAAUGCUUUAUAAGCAAUUUGCAAGUGAAGGCUUCAGCAGUCAAAUUAAAUCAAGAUGUCAAGAAAAUCUUAGAGAAAUUACUGAUUUUUAUUUGUGGUUAAUCAGAAUCACUUUAUUGAUGACAGGUGUAUGAUAACCUAUUAUAAAAAAUAAUUUUGUUGGCUGCUGUCUCACAUUUACAGUGGAAAUCAAUCAGACAUGAUUUAACUUGGUUUCAAUUGGCUUCACAAACACAUUAUUGUACUGUAAUAGACAUGUGACUUAAAAUUAAUACUAUCAAUGUAUUUUAUUUACAGAUGUUACAAAUCCUUUUAGUAUCCUGUUAGGAUCUCAGUUAGUACUUUUAUUUAUUUAACUGACAUUUCAGGCAAUUCUGCAUAUUUUGUUUUGUAAUUAUGUAUGUGUGCAU